Molecule: long non-coding RNA, 1240 nt
Organism: Anas platyrhynchos (mallard)
Lineage: Eukaryota; Metazoa; Chordata; Aves; Anseriformes; Anatidae
Source: RefSeq, a predicted model, not a curated record
AGGCCCGGGCAACACCUCCCGACAUGGCGGCGGCUCCCCCUUCCCGCCUUCCCGCCUCCGUGCGGGCGGGCCCGGGGCGGGCCCCGGCGGCCCCAUAAAGCCGGGUGCGCGGGGCUGGUCGCCCUCUUGCUCCCGCGUGGCUGAGGCCUGUGUGAUGGCAGGGGGCUGCUGGGCAUGCUGCAGAGCUGGAGCAGUGCAUGGAGCUGGCUGGGAUCAGCCUUACACUGAGUGCAGUUGCCUGGCUUCCUUCACAGUGCCUGAACCUUGAGCAGGCCUGUGUGAUGGCAGGGGGCUGCUGGGCCUGCUGCAGAGCUGAAGCGAUGGUGGUAGAUGGCUGGGAUCAGCCUUACACUGAGGGCAGUUGCCUGGUUUGCUCUGUUGUGCCUGAACCCCUGAUACCCCUGAUGGGUGUGAAUGGCCUGUGUGAUGGCAGGGGGCUGCUGGGCCUGCUGCAGAGCUGAAGCGAUGGCUGGAACCAGCUGUGGAUCAGAUGUGUGAUGAGGGCAGUUGCCUGGUUUGCUUCACAGUGCCUGAACCUUGAGCAGGCCUGUGUGAUGGCAGGGGGCUGCUGGGCAUGCUGCAGAGCUGAAGUGAUAGCUGGAGCCAGCAGUGCGGCGAGUUGGCCUGGUUUGCUUCACUGUUUACUUUUUCCUUUGGCAGAAGAGAAUGGUUAAGAUCUGUCAGAAGUUGUCCCAGGACCUGCUGUGAUUUCAGUGUUCUAGGUGAAAGCUGUCUCCUGCUAAUGAUGUUACUCUCCAUGCUGCUGCCUGUGAUCCCUUGUUCAAGCUACAGCAUCCACAUCAUCCUGCAACAGCUCUUUGGUCUUUUCUCAGAGCUAGCAGGGAAUGAUAAAUUGGUGUCUUGCCAACUCACAGAUGGAGGGUGUUAUAUUUUUUCCUUUGUAUGAGACAUUUAAUCGGAAUGGAUUCUGGAACUUGUAUGUUUAACAUAAUUUGGUGCUUUUGUCUGUGAGGGAUGUCUGUGUUCACCUGGCAACUAAUGUUACCUUGUCAGUAUCGUGCAAAGUAUAGAAGCCUUAAAGAGCUAUUCUCAUGUAUGGGAUGAUGGCCUUGUGUGUAAGGAGGGAAUUCAAGUCUUGGUUCUCCCCUGUCACUCUGAAAGCUUUAGUAAAGUAUCAUCUGCAUGUGAAGCAAGGAAGGUGCAUUUGGAUGCUGCAGUGCGGUCUGUUUCUGUACUCUUUAGGGCCUAUUUUUAAUAAAACCUGAGUACUCUGAACUCA